AGAAGUGCUGUCUCAGCAGAGAAAGGAGGCAUAUUUAAUGUGUUUACUUUGCAAAGAGGAACAAACAGGUCUAAAGACCCCACCCCCACCAUCUUUGGGGUCCUUAUAGUAAGGUUGUUUAAAUGGAGCAAGAGGUGUACGUCACUAACCAGGCCCGAUCAAGGUGAUGGAAUGGAAUGAAAUCUCUUUCUAGGAGACAGGCUGCCCCACUAGCUGGCACCAGACACUGAUGAUCGUUUUCCUGCCCCAGCAGGAGACUCCUAAGGAAGUUCAGUUCCUCCGGGACUAUGACUUCAGCAGUCUGAUGGCUAAAGGGAAGGACACAAGUGUUUCUCCUUAGAGUAGAUUCCCUCCUGCUAGGUGGUUACACCUGCAGAACAAGGAAACUGCAUCUCAAAGUGACCCCUCUAUCCUAAGGGGGCACCAGAUGCUGCUCCAGAUGUGCUGCCUGUAGGCUGCCUGCCUCCUCUCUUCAGGCUUGCUGCCAAAGGCACCUGGCCGGGCUACCUUGUCCAGCUCCCAAGACUUCCAUCACGACUCCCCUCCUAUCUUGGGAAGUCGAAGUCCUGCUCACCUUGAAGACUCCUUGAAGAUUUUGGUUUCCCUGGAAGCAUCUACUAGCAUGGAAUGCUAAACAGGUUGAUUUUGUCAAGUAGUGAAAACAGCAAUACACAGAAUAACCCAGACAUGAAUCCAGGUCCAAGACUCCCAGGCAGAGGCUACUAACACACUCCUGAAAAAGUGAAGUUCAAGUGAAAAGCACGUGAGAUCUCUGUUUGUGCUAUGUACACGUCAGUGGGCUUUCUAGGCACAGAACACUGACUUUUAUUUCGUUCCAAACAGUGUAACUAUCAUCUAUGACUGUGUGGGAUGAGUGUAAGAAACGUCAGAGUAACAUAAAGAGUGGCGUUCCUUCCCGAGAGGACGGUCUCGUCCUGAAGAGACUUGACAGACCAUGAUGAUUAUGUCUUCCAUCUCAUGCUGAAACUGGAGCCGUGGUAGAAAGUUAAGUUAGGGGACUGGGAGUCUAAUUAUGUGCUGUGUCUUACAGAAACAUAAAAACCCAAUCACAUUUAGUUAUACACUUAAAAUUUGUUUUGCUUUUAUUGGAAAUAAUAAAAUUAUAUGGACUUGAGCCAUUAUACUCUCCCUCUCCACACACACACACACACACACACACACACACACACACACAUACACUUUGGUAGUGAGAGUUUUUAACAGCCCUCAAAUGCAGACAAGUUAGUGCCUGAGAUGUGAAUGUUAAGAACUGUGGGCUUUGGAUAAGAAUGUUAAUUUAGUUUCACUUGUCUCCAGAGCUUUACACAGUUCUCCGAACUGUCUAUUCUUCUUCAUCACCCUGGCAUCCAGAAAAACUCAUGGACACAAGCAUACACAUGUAUAUAUGAAAACUUGUAUACACAAGGCACAUGUGCUCACAUGUGAACAUAUGCAUACACCCACACAGCAUACACUACACAGACUGCAUCCAUACUUGCAUAUGUGCAUAUGCUUGUAUGCACAUGGACACACACCCAUAUAUACAAAUGCACACAUGUUUGUAUAUGUUUGCAGUCACAUCUCUUUAGAAUACCUAGUC
Non-coding RNA from Mus caroli (Ryukyu mouse), 1600 nucleotides. The record is from RefSeq and is a predicted model, not a curated record. Lineage: Eukaryota; Metazoa; Chordata; Mammalia; Rodentia; Muridae.